RNAcentral lists this small RNA (421 nucleotides) under Vibrio hippocampi. RNAcentral describes it as "cspA". It matches the Rfam family "cspA thermoregulator". The record is from RNAcentral. Lineage: Bacteria; Pseudomonadati; Pseudomonadota; Gammaproteobacteria; Vibrionales; Vibrionaceae.
AUAUAGUUAAGAGUAAAAGAGUACGAGUUGUAUUGUCAGAUAGUUCCACCGCGAGUAUUUGCCAUUCGUUUUAUCCGUUUACACCUUGAUUAAAUAAACAGAACCACAAAGCGAGACCGCCGAAAGGCAACUUUAAUCUAAAACGUAAGGGACACAAAAUGUCUAACACAAAUACUGGCACUGUAAAAUGGUUUAACGAAGAGAAAGGCUACGGCUUCAUCGCACAAGAGAACGGUCCAGACGUAUUCGUUCACUUCCGUGCAAUCUCUGGUGAAGGUUUCAAAACUCUAAAAGAAGGCCAAGCGGUUUCUUUUGGUGUUGAGUCUGGUCAAAAAGGCCCUCAAGCAGUUAACGUAAUUCCUCAGUAAUUACUUCUGCUACUCUUGAUAGAUAAAAGACCUCAAUUGAGGUCUUUUUUGGU